GAUGAACGCUGGCGGCGUGCCUAAUACAUGCAAGUCGAGCGAACAGACGAUGAGCUUGCUCCUCUGACGUUAGCGGCGCACGGGUGAGUAACACGUGUAUAACCUACCUAUAAGACUGGUAUAAUCUCGGGAAACCGGAGCUAAUACCGGAUAAUCUAUUGAACCGCAUGGUUCAAUAGUGAAAGACGGUUUUGCUGUCACUUAUAGAUGGAUCCGCGCCGCAUUAGCUAGUUGUUAAGGUAACGGCUUACCAAGGCAACGAUGCGUAGCCGACGUGAGAGAGUGAUCGGCCACACUAGAACGGAGACACGGUCAAGAGUCCUGCGGGAGGCAGCAGUAGGGAAUCUUCCGCAGUGGGCGAGAGCCUGACGGAGCAACGCCACGUGAGUGGUGACGGUCUUCGGAUCGUAAAACUCUGUUAUUAGUGAUGAACAAAUGUGGAAGUAACUAUGCACGUAUUGACGGUACCUGAUCAGAAAGCCACGGCUAACUACGUG
RNAcentral lists this ribosomal RNA (497 nucleotides) under uncultured bacterium. RNAcentral describes it as "partial 16S ribosomal RNA". It matches the Rfam family "Bacterial small subunit ribosomal RNA", at positions 28 to 507 of the family's 1533-position model. The record is from RNAcentral.